This is a long non-coding RNA of Rhinolophus ferrumequinum (greater horseshoe bat), 4883 nucleotides long. RefSeq lists it as uncharacterized. Lineage: Eukaryota; Metazoa; Chordata; Mammalia; Chiroptera; Rhinolophidae. The transcript is spliced from 5 exons. The record is from RefSeq and is a predicted model, not a curated record.
CACAAGUCGUGCAGCCAGGAGAUUAGAACCUACGGAAGUAACGAGAGUAGCAGUAGAGGUGAAACAGAGAGGACCCGAGUGAAAAAUAAUUUUAACUCCAGGGGAUUUGGGGACUGAUACAUACGAAGACGAGGAUUUGGUUCUUCGACACCAAAUCCCACCAUUUCCUCCUCCUGAUGUACAAGCCUUCAAAAUCGGAAUUGGAGCUCUGCAGGGAAGAGAUGCUGCAUGACCUCGGGGACAGCGGCUGCCCCAGGGUGAGACGUGCCCUUGGAAAGCCCCAGUGGACCCUGCGGUUGUCAAUGGAGUGGAGCAAUGCCAUGAGAACCAGUAUUAAGACCUGCAACCCCCUCCUGGCUGCACCGCCCGCUUGCUGAACAGGAAAUGGCACCUCAGAACCCCGUAAACGACGAGCCCAGGCUCCCCGGUCCAAAGAUCUGUGUUCGGGCACAACCGGCCCUUUGUGUGUUGGGGUCAAUUGUGGCUCCUAAUUGGCAGUGUAAACAAUGGGCCUCUGUGUUUGUUCACAGAAGACAACAGCACUCUGGAGCAAUGACACGUGUUUCAACGUCCAAAAAAAAAAGAGCAGAGCCUGACAUUCCAGCAAAAAUCUCUAAAGAAUCCUGCGCUUAUCGCAAAAAGACCUUGUUACGCAGUCCAAAUAAAUGGCUGCAGCGCCAGCCUCCCAGCACUCGGCAGGCCACAGUCCCUCGGCGGAGACUGGGUGAGCACUGGGUGUGAAGUGCCAAACAGUGCAGUGAUUAGCAGCUUGCAAGGUUUCACUGGGCGUGAUUUAAGGCCCUUAUCUGCCUCAGAGGUCCUCCGUGCCCGAUUCAACUCCAGCCGACUACGAUUACGGUAGUUUUCAGGAAGAGAUCCUCUCUGCCCUACAGACGGCCCAGCCCCUAGAGGACACCGCCAGGGGCAGCGAGCAGGGCUUCCAAGCUACGGGGCCUUGAAAGAGGGAAAUGAGAAGACACCUGUGGCCAGACUAUUGACAAAGUAGCACCUAGACCGGCGUUUGACCAAGCAAUUGGGUACCGCAGUCCAGCCAAGUUGACAUGUAAAUUGAACUAUCACAAGCGCCUUGGUGCCCAAGGUGGUGACAUGGUAGGUGGUCACCGGGUAAGUGUAGACCGUACAGAGGAGCGACCUCACCUCAUCCCAGUCUUGCUCUCUUCCCCGGCACCUGCUCCCAUCUGACAUCCUAUGUUUUACAUAGUUAUCUGCUCUUGCCUGUCCCGGAUUUGUGUCUGUUUUGUCCUCAGUGCCCAGAGGCGUCCCUGGCAUAUAGUAGACACUCAAUAAAUUUUUGCAAAUGAAUGAAUUUGAAGGGUAGCCAUGCCCACCAGCAGAGCAGUAAGCCAAGUGCGAGGUCUUUUUACGUGUCGGGCCCUGUGUGACUGCACAGGUCUCACUCCCAUGAAGCCAGCCCUUGUUACACGCGGUCCAAAGGAACAGCACUUUGCUUCAUAUGGUCAUCAUUGGACUGUAGAUUUUUCCUCCCACACGAGGCUGUGAGACUCUGGAGGGCUGGGGCCAUUCCGGUUAUCUUGAUUUCCCAGUGCCUGGCACAGAGCCUGGCAUAGACCAAUGAGUUCAAUAAAAUGCCAAACGAUUGAAUGAAUUGACCGACAACUUCAUAGUUAAUUCCUCACAAGCCUUUGUGUUCUUGACAGUCUCCAUUUGCCAUUUCAACCUUGGCUUCCUAUCCCUUCCCACAAGAAGUAAAUAUAGUUUGACUCUCAGUGCCACUGGGGGAGACUGAAGUCAUCCGGCCACUUUAGGGUCAGGCCCAAGGCUCACUCCUGCAGUUGUCCUCACCCUCCUGCAUCCACGGGUUGGGCAGACUUUGAUCUGAACCUCUCCACAGUCUCCUUCAUCAAGUGGCGGGACCUCUUGUGAUUUUGAGGGAUUUAUAGACACCCAUCCACCCUUCAUGAAAUUUUUCAGCAAUACAGACCCAUUAGACAAUGAUUCAGAGAGAGAUUAAAAUAAUGAAGGUGAGAAGAAAGGGAGACCUUGUCCUGCUGGAACUCCAUCCAUCAUCAUUUGUGGCUCUAAAGAAGAAUGAUCAUCCCAGCGCAUUAAAGAAAGUUGUCCAUUAGGCACCCUGUGAGACCUCAGAAAAUUGUUCCCCGGAGAGGGCUGUAGGUGGGCAGCCACGUCCAUGUGAUGAAUUUAUCACCUGAGAGCCCAGUGUGGUUCCCUAGGUGAAGCGGGGAGUAUUCGGAAAACCAAAAAAAACAAAAACUACUCUCAACUCCCACUAUUCUAAAGGAGAAUCAGAAGGGAGACUGAGGAAGAGUCUUAGGAGAUCUAGGGCCACCCAGAUGGUCCCCUGAGAUCAGAUUACCACCCACUUUUUCAAGAAUCACCUCUUACACCCAAUUUGAAGUUUUAAAAAUGCUUCAGAUUGUAUUUUUUACAAUAGCAUGUGGUUUAAAAACAGCCCAUUAUAAAAUGAUUAAAUAGAUUAAUACACAUCAUCUCAGUGUAAUAUUAUGCAGUUAAGUGUUGACAAAAACUAUAGGUUAAGGGAGAAAAAUGAAGUAUUAAGUGGAAAAAGGCAAGACAAGCACGUAGAUGAUAGGACCACAGCUACAUAAAACAUCGACAUAUAGGAAAAAGAUUGGAAGGAAAAGCACCCCCAAAUACUAAGUCAUUGUCUUUGGGGGAUGAGAUUAUUGGUAGCUUUUUGUUUUUUGUAAUUUCAAAAUAUUCUCAGUUGGGCAGGUGUGGAUCAGUGCCAUCCCUGCCGGAGGCAGCAGGCAGGUGAUUUUGGGACUCAGCUCUAGCCCCCCUUACGAUAAUAGUCACCCAAUUUUUAUUUAAGGAUCUACCCUCACAUUUAGAUAACUAACAAUGAGCUAUUCUGUUAUUAUUACUAUUAUUAUUAUUCUAUGGUUUCAGUGAACGCCUGGCUUCAGUUGACUCAUCUCAUCUCAACCACAGAGUCUGGUUGUCAGAUGGGUGUCCAUCCAUGGAAGCUAGUCCAGCCCAACAAGACUCUCUGUUCCAUUAUUUGUAUGUGAAUUAAAUAUGAAACUGACUGCAUGGGAGGGGAGAGUCCAUCUGGGAAUGAAGCCCACGGAUUUCAGCCAAGAGAUGGAUGGCAAAUCCGAUCACGUUGGCUGAACUCCUGCAUCAAGCCAUACCUGAAGCCAGCCCUACCUUCAGCCUCUGGAGCCUACAUUUUAUCGUGCUUAAUCCCAUUGGGUUGGUUUUCUGUCCUUUGCAGCAGCAGGAGGAGUGCUUUCCAGUACACUCUGUUUGAAGAGCCUCUGUCCUAUAGGGGACACAGACAGGUGAGGAUGGGGUGUUUGGUACAGGAGCCUAAAGGAGGACGGGGAGCUGAGCCUGGACUCUUGGAGGUUCCCUGGAGGAACGGAUGCCUGACGUAAGUUUUGCAGGAGUGGAGUGAGUCAAAUGUGGGAAGCUGUUAAGGCUUGAAUCCCUGACGUGCUCCCACGUACCUGGCUCAGUGACUCCAGAGGCCUGGAUGAGAUAUAGGGGCUCUGAAGCCCGCAUGAGGGCUCUCCAGAAAGCGCCCGCAUUUCCUGGGCACCAGAGUGGAAAAAUUUACGCUCUCCCAGAAGGGAAUUCUGCCUGAAGCUUCCAGAUUGCCAGAUCAAGCUUCAGGGAGGGAAAUUUGGGGACGAACAACAAACCUAGCAGUAAAGCGCCCAGGGAGGAAAUUUUAUAGUGAAUUUGGAUGAUUUUGGAUUCACAAAGAUACAUACCAGAGUUGUGCAGGGGAGGAGAGUGUGGGGGCGAGAAAAGCGGGAGUAUGUUUUUCUUUUGACUUCUGGUAAAAAUGUAUUUGCAAUAGAAAUACCGUUCAAUAAAUACAUAAGUAAAUCAUGAAUAGACCAUCAAAUACCACUUCGGUUUUCCACUGACAGUCAAGAAGAGAAGCAAGUUCAAGAUCAUCAAAAACAGUGAUAAGAAGGGAGGUGUCAAGUGAAGGAGGCAGAAACCGCUGUACCUGACUGAUAUUGCCAUGGGGCACGGCGGCGGGGUCACAGCCACGGUCCUGGGUAAAUACCAGUGGCAAGAGGCGCUGCUGAUUUGACGCAAACGGCUCAGAAGGGAGGACUUUAGAUUGAAUAACCCCGGGAAGAUCUAGGGAUUAUGGGCUCCGAGGUGAUUUCCUAAGGGACAGAGCUGAAGUGCCUCAUUUUAUUGAAAAUUGGACUGUGUGAAACAGGGUCAAAUUAAGGAACCUUUCUCAGCAGCUACCUGAGGGGCCUCUUCUCUCUAAUUACCAGGAUCGCACAGUUGAAGCAGCCCCCAUUGUUCAGCCAGCUUCUGAAAAGAAGCCUUCUCUCAGAAGGGGAGUGAAUGCAGAGCUCUCUGAAGUGGUUAAUCUACCAGAGCAACGAAAAGGUGGUUUAUUAGAUUAAUUGUGACUGCAAAAAGCAAGAAAACAAACAAACCAAAACCCCAAACUGCUGGGAACGUACAUUUGAAAGUAGAUGCACGAGACUGUUCAAAUAUAAACAUAAUCGUGGCCCCCAAGAUCAGUGUGGUGACCAGAUUAUGUUAAACCCUCCUGAUAACAAACCAGGAAAGCCUAUACAUACUAGUGUCUCUGCGAGCUGCACUGUAAAGUUUAGACGGCCAGGGGGACAGUCACCUUGGGAGCUCCAGGGACGGCCUUGAACCAUGUAUUGUUUUUCUCUUUAUUCCUAUUCACCACAACUGUCAGAGAUAUGUUAGCUGACACAUUUCUCCUGACACUGACUAUAAGAUGUACCUCCAUUUUAAGAACGUUGGAAAGUGAAAAAAAUGUUUACUUUCAAAUGGAGAUGUAUUAAAAGAUUCCACAUAUAAGCGAAAUCACAGUGCAUCUGUCUUUCUCGGUCUGACACUCCACUCGG